This 562-nucleotide ribosomal RNA is filed under the name Shigella boydii. Its description in RNAcentral is "bacterial SSU rRNA". It matches the Rfam family "Bacterial small subunit ribosomal RNA", at positions 859 to 1421 of the family's 1533-position model. Lineage: Bacteria; Pseudomonadati; Pseudomonadota; Gammaproteobacteria; Enterobacterales; Enterobacteriaceae. The record is from RNAcentral.
GUUAAGUCGACCGCCUGGGGAGUACGGCCGCAAGGUUAAAACUCAAAUGAAUUGACGGGGGCCCGCACAAGCGGUGGAGCAUGUGGUUUAAUUCGAUGCAACGCGAAGAACCUUACCUGGUCUUGACAUCCACGGAAGUUUUCAGAGAUGAGAAUGUGCCUUCGGGAACCGUGAGACAGGUGCUGCAUGGCUGUCGUCAGCUCGUGUUGUGAAAUGUUGGGUUAAGUCCCGCAACGAGCGCAACCCUUAUCCUUUGUUGCCAGCGGUCCGGCCGGGAACUCAAAGGAGACUGCCAGUGAUAAACUGGAGGAAGGUGGGGACGACGUCAAGUCAUCAUGGCCCUUACGACCAGGGCUACACACGUGCUACAAUGGCGCAUACAAAGAGAAGCGACCUCGCGAGAGCAAGCGGACCUCAUAAAGUGCGUCGUAGUCCGGAUUGGAGUCUGCAACUCGACUCCAUGAAGUCGGAAUCGCUAGUAAUCGUGGAUCAGAAUGCCACGGUGAAUACGUUCCCGGGCCUUGUACACACCGCCCGUCACACCAUGGGAGUGGGUUGCAAA